RNAcentral lists this ribosomal RNA (425 nucleotides) under uncultured bacterium. Its description in RNAcentral is "partial 16S ribosomal RNA". It matches the Rfam family "Bacterial small subunit ribosomal RNA", at positions 354 to 796 of the family's 1533-position model. The record is from RNAcentral.
GUGGGGAAUAUUGGACAAUGGGCGCAAGCCUGAUCCAGCCAUGCCGCGUGAGUGAUGAAGGCCUUAGGGUUGUAAAGCUCUUUCACCGAUGAAGAUAAUGACGGUAGUCGGAGAAGAAGCCCCGGCUAACUUCGUGCCAGCAGCCGCGGUAAUACGAAGGGGGCUAGCGUUGUUCGGAAUUACUGGGCGUAAAGCGCACGUAGGCGGAUAUUUAAGUCAGGGGUGAAAUCCCAGAGCUCAACUCUGGAACUGCCUUUGAUACUGGGUAUCUUGAGUAUGGAAGAGGUAAGUGGAAUUCCGAGUGUAGAGGUGAAAUUCGUAGAUAUUCGGAGGAACACCAGUGGCGAAGGCGGCUUACUGGUCCAUUACUGACGCUGAGGUGCGAAAGCGUGGGGAGCAAACAGGAUUAGAAACCCCUGUAGUCC